GACGAACGCUGGCGGCGUGCUUAACACAUGCAAGUCGAACGGAAAGGCCCUGCUUUUGUGGGGUGCUCGAGUGGCGAACGGGUGAGUAACACGUGAGUAACCUGCCCUUGACUUUGGGAUAACUUCAGGAAACUGGGGCUAAUACCGGAUAGGAGCUCCUGCUGCAUGGUGGGGGUUGGAAAGUUUCGGCGGUUGGGGAUGGACUCGCGGCUUAUCAGCUUGUUGGUGGGGUAGUGGCUUACCAAGGCUUUGACGGGUAGCCGGCCUGAGAGGGUGACCGGGCACAAUGGGACUGAGAGACGGCGCAGAAGCCUACGGGAGGCAGUAGGCGGGAAUAUUGCACAACGGGGGGACGCGUGAUGUAGCAGUGUCGCGUGCGGGAUGCCGGCCUUCGGGUUGUAAACCGAUGUCGCCUGAGACGAAGAGUGAGUGACGGUAAUGGGUAAAGAAGCACCGGCUAACUACGUG
Molecule: ribosomal RNA, 468 nt
Filed under: uncultured bacterium
Lineage: Bacteria
Description: partial 16S ribosomal RNA
Rfam family: Bacterial small subunit ribosomal RNA
Source: RNAcentral